RNAcentral lists this ribosomal RNA (492 nucleotides) under uncultured bacterium. RNAcentral describes it as "partial 16S ribosomal RNA". It matches the Rfam family "Bacterial small subunit ribosomal RNA", at positions 30 to 507 of the family's 1533-position model. The record is from RNAcentral.
AUUGAACGCUGGCGGCAUGCUUUACACAUGCAAGUCGAACGGUAACAGGCCUUCGGGUGCUGACGAGUGGCGAACGGGUGAGUAAUGCAUCGGAACGUGCCCAGAGGUGGGGGAUAACGCAGCGCAAGCUGUGCUAAUACCGCAUGUGAUCUGAGGAUGAAAGCGGGGGACCAGGCAGCAAUGUUUGGCCUCGCGCCUUUGGAGCGGCCGAUGUCAGAUUAGGUAGUUGGUGGGGUAAAGGCCUACCAAGCCGACGAUCUGUAGCUGGUCUGAGAGGACGACCAGCCACACUGGGACUGAGACACGGCCCAGACUCCUACGGGAGGCAGCAGUGGGGAAUUUUGGACAAUGGGCGCAAGCCUGAUCCAGCAAUGCCGCGUGCGGGAAGAAGGCCUUCGGGUUGUAAACCGCUUUUGUACGGAACGAAAAGGCUCUGGCUAAUACCUGGGGCUGAUGACGGUACCGUAAGAAUAAGCACCGGCUAACUACGUG